AGCGAACGCUGGCGGCAGGCCUAACACAUGCAAGUCGAACGGAACCUUCGGGAUUAGUGGCGGACGGGGGAGGCACGCGUGGGAAGGUGCCGUUUGGUUCGGGACACCUCAGGGAAACUUGAGCUAAUACCGGAUGUGCUCUUCUGGGGCAAGAUAUAUCGCCAUUGGAGCGGCCCGCGUCCUAUUAGCCAGUUGGUGAGGUAACGGCCCAUCAAGGCGAAGAUCAGUAGCUGGUCUGAGAGGAUGAGCAGCGACACUGGGGGUGGGACACGGCGGAGAAUCUUACGGGAGGCAGGAGAGGGGAAUCUAGCGCUAUGGGCGAAAUGCAGACGCACCUAUGCCGGGUGAAUGAUGAUGGUCUGAGGAUUGUAAAAUUCUUUCAGCGGGGACGAUAAUGACGGUACCCGAAGAAGAAGCACCGGCUAACUUCGUG
This 433-nucleotide ribosomal RNA is filed under the name uncultured bacterium. RNAcentral describes it as "partial 16S ribosomal RNA". It matches the Rfam family "Bacterial small subunit ribosomal RNA", at positions 30 to 507 of the family's 1533-position model. The record is from RNAcentral.